CCCUUAGAUGUUCUGGGCCGCACGCGCGCUACACUGGUGCGUUCAACAAGUUUACAACCUUGAUUGACAAGUCUGGGUAAUCUUUUGAAUGCGCACCGUGCUAGGGAUAGAUUAUUGCAAUUAUUAAUCUUGAACGAGGAAUUCCUAGUAAACGCAAGUCAUCAACUUGCAUUGAUUACGUCCCUGCCCUUUGUACACACCGCCCGUCGCACCUACCGAUUGAAUGGUCCGGUGAAGCCUCCGGAUUGGCGCGCACCUCGGUGCCGCCGAGAAGUUGGCUAAACCUUACCAUUUAGAGGAAGGUGAAGUCGUAACA
RNAcentral lists this ribosomal RNA (316 nucleotides) under uncultured eukaryote. RNAcentral describes it as "partial 18S ribosomal RNA". It matches the Rfam family "Eukaryotic small subunit ribosomal RNA", at positions 1470 to 1796 of the family's 1831-position model. The record is from RNAcentral.